RNAcentral lists this ribosomal RNA (523 nucleotides) under Gilbertaria squalescens. RNAcentral describes it as "SSU rRNA". It matches the Rfam family "Bacterial small subunit ribosomal RNA", at positions 362 to 882 of the family's 1533-position model. Lineage: Eukaryota; Fungi; Ascomycota; Lecanoromycetes; Lecanorales; Sphaerophoraceae. The record is from RNAcentral.
UAUUGGUCAAUAGCCUGACGGCUGAACCAGCAACUUGGAGGAAUGUAUAGUGAGAACUAAUUGCACAAUAAUUAUUUGGUGCAAUAUCGACUCUGUUGAAUAAAAUUCUGGGUGGAAUUAUGAUAAUGACAUUGUCUGCCCAUGUGUCUUGACCAAAUUACGUGCCAGCAGUCGCGGUAAUACGUAGAAGACUAGUGUUAUUCAUCUUUAAUAGGUUUAAAGGGUACCUAGACAGUAAAUAAAGCCAUAGAAGGGACUAGUUUGCUAGAGUUACUUAUGAGGGGGUUGAAAUGUACUAGUGGUGUAGAGAUAAAAUUUGUUGAUACCUUUUUCCUAGAGAAGACAUAUGGCACAGAUAUAGGCGAAAGCGUCUCCUUAUGUGAUAACUGACGUUGAGGGACGAAGGCUUCUGGUAACAAACAGGAUUAGAGACCCUGGUAGUCGGAGCAGAAAAUGAUGAGUGUCAUAGCAGUGAGGAAUAUUGGUCUAUAAAUGAAAGUGUAAGCAUUCCACCUCAAGAGUA